GGGUCAGUAGGUUGGUCGUGCCACCGGUACGUACUGGUCUCACUGAUUCCUCCUUCCUGAAGAACCGUAAUGCCAUUAAUUUGGUGUUGCGGGGAAACAGGACUGUUACUUUGAAAAAAUUAGAGUGUUUAAAGCAAGCUAACGCUUAAAUACAUUAGCAUGGAAUAAUGAAAUAGGACGAUCGACCCUAUUUUGUUGGUUUCUAGGAUUGACGUA
This 216-nucleotide ribosomal RNA is filed under the name Glomeromycotina sp. RNAcentral describes it as "partial small subunit ribosomal RNA". The stretch from base 40 to 216 matches the Rfam family "Eukaryotic small subunit ribosomal RNA", at positions 686 to 864 of the family's 1831-position model. Lineage: Eukaryota; Fungi; Glomeromycota. The record is from RNAcentral.